CCUACGGGAAGCAGCAGUGAGGAAUAUUGGUCAAUGGACGAGAGUCUGAACCAGCCAAGUAGCGUGAAGGAUGACUGCCCUAUGGGUUGUAAACUUCUUUUAUAUGGGAAUAAAAUGUUCCACGUGUGGGAUUUUGUAUGUACCAUAUGAAUAAGGAUCGGCUAACUCCGUGCCAGCAGCCGCGGUAAUACGGAGGAUCCGAGCGUUAUCCGGAUUUAUUGGGUUUAAAGGGAGCGUAGGUGGAUUGUUAAGUCAGUUGUGAAAGUUUGCGGCUCAACCGUAAAAUUGCAGUUGAAACUGGCAGUCGUGAGUACAGUAGAGGUGGGCGGAAUGCGUGGUGUAGCGGUGAAAUGCUUAGAUAUCACGAAGAACUCCGAUUGCGAAGGCAGCUCACUGGACUGCAACUGACACUGAGGCUCGAAAGUGUGGGUAUCAAACAGGAUUAGAUACCCUUGUAGUC
Molecule: ribosomal RNA, 460 nt
Filed under: uncultured bacterium
Lineage: Bacteria
Description: partial 16S ribosomal RNA
Rfam family: Bacterial small subunit ribosomal RNA
Source: RNAcentral